This 251-nucleotide unclassified non-coding RNA is filed under the name Melitaea cinxia (Glanville fritillary). Its description in RNAcentral is "misc RNA ENSMCXG00005000839.1". The record is from RNAcentral. Lineage: Eukaryota; Metazoa; Arthropoda; Insecta; Lepidoptera; Nymphalidae.
GGUGUUAUUUUCUACGUUUUGGCUUGUUUACGGACUUUUUGAUCUUCUACGUGUUACGACAUCACCUGGCUUGUUACUUGGACCCCGGAUUAAUUGCAUGACUGAUAACUUGUCUCUCUAUUACACGUAUUACAAUUUUUGCAAUUUUGAUAAAGUAUAUUAAGAUGCCGAAACCAGCUUAAUUAAAAUGUUAUUUCAAAUGUGAUAUCGAUGGACCUUUACAUCCCUUUCCCAAAUGGGAAUAUUCUCAU